RNAcentral lists this transfer RNA (72 nucleotides) under Dipodomys ordii (Ord's kangaroo rat). It matches the Rfam family "tRNA". From Rfam's summary of the family: Transfer RNA (tRNA) molecules are approximately 80 nucleotides in length. Their secondary structure includes four short double-helical elements and three loops (D, anti-codon, and T loops). The record is from Rfam by way of RNAcentral. Lineage: Eukaryota; Metazoa; Chordata; Mammalia; Rodentia; Heteromyidae.
GGGAAUGUGGCUCAGAGGUAGAGCGCUUGCCUUGCAUGCAUGAGGCCUUGGGUUUGAUUCCUCAGGGUUUUG